Molecule: ribosomal RNA, 650 nt
Filed under: uncultured archaeon
Lineage: Archaea
Description: bacterial SSU rRNA
Rfam family: Archaeal small subunit ribosomal RNA
Source: RNAcentral
GUCGGGAUCUCGUAUGUGCUGGAUGCUUUCCGAGUGAAAUGGAUUCGUCUGCCCAAGGAUGGGUCUGCGGCCUAUCAGGUAGUAGUGGGUGUAAUGUACCUACUAGCCUACGACGGGUACGGGUUGUGAGAGCAAGAGCCCGGAGAUGGAUUCUGAGACAUGAAUCCAGGCCCUACGGGGCGCAGCAGGCGCGAAAACUUUACAAUGCGGGAAACCGUGAUAAGGGGACACCGAGUGCCAGCAUCAUAUGCUGGCUGUCCAGGUGUGCAAAAUACACCUGUUAGCAAGGGCCGGGCAAGACCGGUGCCAGCCGCCGCGGUAACACCGGCGGCCCGAGUGGUGAUCGUGAUUAUUGGGUCUAAAGGGUCCGUAGCCGGUUUGGUCAGUCCUCCGGGAAAUCUGACAGCUUAACUGUUAGGCUUUCGGCGGAUACUGCCAGACUUGGAACCGGGAGAGGUAAGAGGUACUACAGGGGUAGGGGUAAAAUCCUCUGAUCCAUUGAAGACCACCAGUGGCGAAGGCGGCUUGCCAGAACGCGCUCGACGGUGAGGGAUGAAAGCUGGGGGAGCAAACCGGAUUAGAUACCCGGGUAGUCCCAGCUGUAAACGAUGCAGACUCGGUGAUGGGCCGGCUUCAUGCCGGCUCAGUGC